This 773-nucleotide ribosomal RNA is filed under the name uncultured Streptococcus sp. Its description in RNAcentral is "bacterial SSU rRNA". It matches the Rfam family "Bacterial small subunit ribosomal RNA", at positions 28 to 776 of the family's 1533-position model. Lineage: Bacteria; Bacillati; Bacillota; Bacilli; Lactobacillales; Streptococcaceae. The record is from RNAcentral.
GACGAACGCUGGCGGCGUGCCUAAUACAUGCAAGUAGAACGCACAGUUUAUACCGUAGCUUGCUACACCAUAAACUGUGAGUUGCGAACGGGUGAGUAACGCGUAGGUAACCUGCCUGGUAGCGGGGGAUAACUAUUGGAAACGAUAGCUGAUACCGCAUAAUAUUGAUUAUUGCAUGAUAAUUGAUUGAAAGAUGCUAUUGCAUCACUACCAGAUGGACCUGCGUUGUAUUAGCUAGUAGGUGAGGUAACGGCUCACCUAGGCGACGAUACAUAGCCGACCUGAGAGGGUGAUCGGCCACACUGGGACUGAGACACGGCCCAGACUCCUACGGGAGGCAGCAGUAGGGAAUCUUCGGCAAUGGACGAAAGUCUGACCGAGCAACGCCGCGUGAGUGAAGAAGGUUUUCGGAUCGUAAAGCUCUGUUGUAAGAGAAGAACGGGUGUGAGAGUGGAAAGUUCACACUGUGACGGUAUCUUACCAGAAAGGGACGGCUAACUACGUGCCAGCAGCCGCGGUAAUACGUAGGUCCCGAGCGUUGUCCGGAUUUAUUGGGCGUAAAGCGAGCGCAGGCGGUUAGAUAAGUCUGAAGUUAAAGGCUGUGGCUUAACCAUAGUACGCUUUGGAAACUGUUUAACUUGAGUGCAGAAGGGGAGAGUGGAAUUCCAUGUGUAGCGGUGAAAUGCGUAGAUAUAUGGAGGAACACCGGUGGCGAAAGCGGCUCUCUGGUCUGUAACUGACGCUGAGGCUCGAAAGCGUGGGGAGCGAACAGG